AUGCACUCGGGGAUACUAAGACUAUAUGCACUGGUUUGUUAUUGUAGGGUCACUCAGGCUGCUAUGCACUCGGGGAUACUAAGACUAUAUGCACUGGUUUGUUAUUGUAGGGUCUCUCAGGGCACUGGUUUGCUUAUCACAGGGUCACUUAGGAUACUAAGGGCAAUGCACACUGAUUGGUUAUUACAGGGUCACUCAGAGGCACUGGGGCUCCACAUGCUGGUCUAUUAUUGUAGGAUCACUCAGAGGCAUGGGGGCUCAAUGCUCAGGUCUGUUAUUGUAGGGGCACUGGGGCUCCACAUGCUGGUUUGUUAUUGUAGGGGCACUGGGGCUCCACAUGCUGGUUUGUUAUUGUAGGGGCACUGGGGCUCCACAUGCUGGUUUGUUAUUGUAGGGUCACUCAGAGGCACUGGGGCUCCACACUCCGGUUUGUUAUUAUAGGGGCACUGGGGCGCCACAUGCUUGUUUGUUAUUGUAGGGUCACUCAGAAGCACUGGGGCUCCACACGCUGGUUUGUUAUUGUAGGGUCACUCAGAAGCACUGGGGCUGUAUAUCCACAGCCCUCAAAACUGCUGGGGGGUUGGGCCUGCUUUGUUAGUGUAAGGUCUUUGUCCUUCCUGGGGGCCACGCUUGCUAGUUAGUUAGCAUAGGGCUGCUCUGGAGCCCUGUUAUUGCUUGUUAGCAUGGCUAGGGUUCCGUCAUUAGUGCAGGCUCUUCAAGUGCUGGGGCUUCAGGCUCAAGGGGGUGAGUUCAGUGUCUCAGGUUCAGUGGGUUUGUAGGUUUCCUAAUGAGGAGUUUGCAUAGGGCACAUGUUAUCGCAGGGUCCGUGCUAGGACUUGGCCCACAAUUGUUUGUUAUUGCAGGGUUGCUGAGAAGCAUGGGAGGGGUUGCAUGUGGUGGUUUGUUGUUAGCUGGUGGGUUGCUGAUGAGCUCGUGGGCAGGUUGCAUAAGGUGGUUUGCUAUCAGUAGGGUUGAGGACCAGAGGGGUUGAUUACAGUAGUUUGUUAUUGUAGGGUUGCUGGCAAGCGGGGGGUAGUGAACAGUGGUUUGUUAUCGUAGGGUUGCUGACAAGCACGGUGAGGAGGUAGCAUACAGUGAUUUGCUAAGGUAGGAUGACUGAGAAGCAUGAGGUGGGAGCAGGGAACAUGUAUAAAGUUGUUAGUUAUUGGAGGGCCACUUGUAGCCUUAAGUCUCCACUCCUGGAGGCUCCAGCCCCUCAGUCCUUCCCCUCCCCCCAUGGCUGAACAGACACUCCAGAACUGAGCUCGUGCCCAGGAGAUUGGGGUCCGCAACAUACAGCCUUUCCCAGGGCUGGUGGGCUUGUUUGCGGGAGUCAACUGGAGGAUCUCAUUGGGGA
This 1357-nucleotide long non-coding RNA is filed under the name Gopherus agassizii (Agassiz's desert tortoise). RNAcentral describes it as "lncRNA (ENSGAGG00000010047.1)". Lineage: Eukaryota; Metazoa; Chordata; Testudines; Testudinidae. The record is from RNAcentral.